This 842-nucleotide ribosomal RNA is filed under the name uncultured bacterium. RNAcentral describes it as "bacterial SSU rRNA". It matches the Rfam family "Bacterial small subunit ribosomal RNA", at positions 674 to 1533 of the family's 1533-position model. The record is from RNAcentral.
UUUAGGGUUAAAUGCCCAAGUAUCCGGAAGACAACCCGUGGCGAAGCCGUUUUUUGGGACGGUAUUGACCCUGGAACCCGAAAGGGUGGGAGCCGACCAGGAUUAGAUACCCUGGUAGUCCACCGCCGUAACCGAUGGGUGCUAGGUGUGGGGGGUGUCGACUCCUUCCGGGCCGAAGCUAACGCAUUAAGCACCCCGCCUGGCGAGUACGCCCGCAAGGCUAACACUCCAAGGAAUUGACGGGGGCCCGCACAAGCAGCGGAGCAUGUUGUCUAAUUCGACGCAACGCGAAGAACCUUACCUGGGCUCGAAAUGUAGUGGAAUCCGGUAGAAAUAUCGGCGCCCAGCAAUGGGCCGCUAUAUAGGUGCUGCAUGGCUGUCGUCAGCUCGUGUCGUGAGAUGUUGGGUUAAGUCCCGCAACGAGCGCAACCCUUGUUACCAGUUGCUACCAUUUAGUUGAGCACUCUGGUGAGACCGCCUCGGAUAACGGGGAGGAAGGCGGGGAUGACGUCAAGUCCUCAUGGCCUUUAUGUCCAGGGCUACACACGUGCUACAAUGGCCGGUACAAACCGUCGCAAACCCGUGAGGGGGAGCUAAUCGGAAAAAGCCGGCCUCAGUUCGGAUUGGAGUCUGCAACUCGACUCCAUGAAGCUGGAAUCGCUAGUAAUCGCGGAUCAGAAUGCCGCGGUGAAUACGUUCCCGGGCCUUGUACACACCGCCCGUCACAUCACGAAAGUGGGUUGUACUAGAAGCCGGUGCGCUAACCGCAAGGAAGCAGCCGUCCAAGGUGUAAUUCAUGAUUGGGGUGAAGUCGUAACAAGGUAAAUCGAAUUCCCGCGGCC